RNAcentral lists this ribosomal RNA (461 nucleotides) under Streptococcus sp. oral taxon 064. RNAcentral's name for it is "bacterial SSU rRNA". It matches the Rfam family "Bacterial small subunit ribosomal RNA", at positions 28 to 473 of the family's 1533-position model. Lineage: Bacteria; Bacillati; Bacillota; Bacilli; Lactobacillales; Streptococcaceae. The record is from RNAcentral.
GACGAACGCUGGCGGCGUGCCUAAUACAUGCAAGUAGAACGCUGAAGGAGGAGCUUGCUCUUCUGGAUGAGUUGCGAACGGGUGAGUAACGCGUAGGUAACCUGCCUGGUAGCGGGGGAUAACUAUUGGAAACGAUAGCUAAUACCGCAUAAGAGUAGAUGUUGCAUGACAUUUGCUUAAAAGGUGCAAUUGCAUCACUACCAGAUGGACCUGCGUUGUAUUAGCUAGUUGGUGGGGUAACGGCUCACCAAGGCGACGAUACAUAGCCGACCUGAGAGGGUGAUCGGCCACACUGGGACUGAGACACGGCCCAGACUCCUACGGGAGGCAGCAGUAGGGAAUCUUCGGCAAUGGACGGAAGUCUGACCGAGCAACGCCGCGUGAGUGAAGAAGGUUUUCGGAUCGUAAAGCUCUGUUGUAAGAGAAGAACGAGUGUGAGAGUGGGAAGUUCACACUGUGAC